RNAcentral lists this transfer RNA (70 nucleotides) under Heniochus diphreutes (false moorish idol). RNAcentral's name for it is "tRNA-Asp". It matches the Rfam family "tRNA". From Rfam's summary of the family: Transfer RNA (tRNA) molecules are approximately 80 nucleotides in length. Their secondary structure includes four short double-helical elements and three loops (D, anti-codon, and T loops). The record is from RNAcentral. Lineage: Eukaryota; Metazoa; Chordata; Actinopteri; Chaetodontiformes; Chaetodontidae.
GAGUCACUAGUAAAAUUAAUUACUCUGCCUUGUCAAGGCAAUAUUGCGGGUUAAAACCCUGCGUGUCUUA